Molecule: ribosomal RNA, 782 nt
Filed under: uncultured bacterium
Lineage: Bacteria
Description: bacterial SSU rRNA
Rfam family: Bacterial small subunit ribosomal RNA
Source: RNAcentral
GCCGCUGGCGGCGCGCUUAUACAUGCAAGUCGAGCGAGAACAGGGCUUCGCCCUGGGGACAGCGGCGAACGAGUGAGUAACACGUGGGUAAUCAACCCCCGACACCGGGAUAGCCCAGGAGACUUGGAUUAAUACCGGAUGCCCCAUCUGGGAGCCGGCUGGAAAAGGGUAGCUUCGCCGGUCGGGGACGAGCCCGCGGCGGAUUAGCUUGUUGGUGAGGUAAAGGCUCACCAAGGCGACGAUCCGUAGCUGGUCUGAGAGGACGAUCAGCCACACUGGGACUGAGACACGGCCCAGACUCCUACGGGAGGCAGCAGUAGGGAAUCUUGCGCAAUGGGCGAAAGCCUGACGCAGCGACGCCGCGUGAGGGAAGAAGGCCUUCGGGUUGUAAACCUCUUUCAGGAGGGACGAAGCCACUCGGGUUAAUAGCCCAGAGGGUGACGGUACCUCCAGAAGAAGCCCCGGCUAACUACGUGCCAGCAGCCGCGGUAAUACGUAGGGGGCAAGCGUUGUCCGGAUUUAUUGGGCGUAAAGAGCGUGUAGGCGGCCAAGCAGGUCUGCUGUGAAAACUCGAGGCUCAACCUCGAGACGUCGGUUGAAACCGCUUGGCUAGAGUCCGGAAGAGGAGAGUGGAAUUCCCGGUGUAGCGGUGAAAUGCGCAGAUAUCGGGAAGAACACCCGUGGCGAAGGCGGCUCUCUGGGACGGUACUGACGCUGAGACGCGAAAGCGUGGGGAGCGAACAGGAUUAGAUACCCUGGUAGUCCACGCCGUAAACGAUGGG